AAGCUAUAAUAAAAUAGCCACCAUUUAGGAAACUGCUGCUGUGAAUAAGCUGCUGUGCUCACAGAAAAAUACACUAUGAUAAUCUCAGUUGCAUCAAUAAAUAUUCUAUGUACCAGGCUCUAUUCUAGAUACUGAGGAUACAGCCCUGAAAAGACCAACAUGAUUUAAACCCACGUGGAGCUUCUUGGGACCUACAUUAACCACAUAGUGGGGCAGAAGAGACGCUGCACACGUCUAGAGCUUAUACCUUGAAAAACUUUGCAGCUUCCAUUUUCACUCUUUUGGAACUCUGCCCCAAGACCACCACACCAGAAGAAACUCUGAAAGAAAACCCACAGAAUGAGAGAGACUUAGCCACCUGGCUGUCCCGGCUGAGCCUUCAGCCACGUGCAGCUUCAUGAGCAAACCCAGGUGAGACCAACAGAAGGGCCAUGCAACCACCCAAAGACUCAUAAGAAAUAAUAGGCCAGGCCCAGCGGCUGACGCCAGGAAUCCCAGCACUUUUGGAGGCUGAGAUGGGCAGAUCCCUUGAGUCCAGGCCUGUAAUCCCAGCACUUUGGCAGGUCGAGGCAGGCAGAUCACUUGAGGUCAGGAGUUUAAGACCAGCCUGGCUAACAAGGUGAAAGCUCGUCUCUAAUAAAAAUACAAAAAUUAGCCAGGCAUGAUGCUGCAUGCCUGUUAUCUCGGCUCCUUGGGAGGCUGAGGCAGGAAAGUCACUUGAACCUGGGAGGCGGAGGUUGCAGGGAGCUGAGAUGGUGCCACUGCACUCCAGCCUGGGUGACAGAACAAGAUGCCAUCUCAGGGGUUGGGGGGAGAUCCCUUGAAUCCAGGAGUUGAAGACAGCCUGAGCAACAUGGUGAAACCCCGCCUCUACAAAAAAUUAGUCAGGCAUGGUGGUACAGGCCUGUAGCCCCAGCUACUCGGGAGGCUAAGGUGGGAGGAUCACUUGAGACUGGGAAGUGGAGGUUGCAGUGAGUUGAGAUCACACCACUGCCCUCCAGCCUGGGUGACAGACACCCCAUCUCAAAAAAUAAAUAAAUAAAUAGUGGACAUUUAUUGUAUCAAACAAAUUCCCAAUACAUCAUUCAGUGUCCAACUUGGGGUGGGGGUGUGUUUUUUUGGGGGGAACCUAAUUUAUCUCAGAUCAUAGAGAUUCAAACCAAGAUCAGAAGAGCUGGUGGUUGGUUGUUGUUUCUGAAAACUCAUAGCUAGACCCUCAAAAGUUAAUAAAUGCAACAGGAUUUAAAACUCAGCUUUGUUUGUCUUGGUGUGUUACGAAAGAACACAAGAAAAAAAUUGCAUUUCACCACUCCUGUGGCUUAAGAAGAAAGCGACCAAACAAGUCAAUUAACCUGUAAGUGAGGGCCCAGUCAUGUGGUGGAGAGACUCU
This 1390-nucleotide long non-coding RNA is filed under the name Homo sapiens (human). RNAcentral's name for it is "non-protein coding lnc-ZMYND8-10:1". The record is from RNAcentral. Lineage: Eukaryota; Metazoa; Chordata; Mammalia; Primates; Hominidae.